Molecule: ribosomal RNA, 391 nt
Filed under: uncultured archaeon
Lineage: Archaea
Description: bacterial SSU rRNA
Rfam family: Archaeal small subunit ribosomal RNA
Source: RNAcentral
UGCAGCAGGCGCGAAACCUUUACACUGCACGACAGUGCGAUAAGGGGACUCCGAGUGCGAGGGCAUACAGUCCUCGCUUUUCUGUACCGUAAGGUGGUACAGGAACAAGUGCUGGGCAAGACCGGUGCCAGCCGCCGCGGUAAUACCGGCAGCACGAGUGAUGGCCGAUUUUAUUGGGCCUAAAGCGUCCGUAGCCGGCCGGACAAGUCCGUUGGGAAAUCGACGCGCUUAACGCGUCGGCGUCCAGCGGAAACUGUCCGGCUUGGGGCCGGAAGAUCCGAGGGGUACGUCCGGGGUAGGAGUGAAAUCCCGUAAUCCUGGACGGACCGCCGGUGGCGAAAGCGCCUUUGAAAGACGGACCCGACGGUGAGGGAGCAAAGCCAUCGUCUCG